GACGUAGGGAGCAAGCGUUGUCCGGAUUUACUGGGCGUAAAGAGCGCGUAGGCGGUCUGUUAAGUGUAGAGUGAAAUCUCCAGGGCUCAACCCGGAAACUGCUCUGCAUACUGGCAGACUUGAGGGACUGAGAGGUGAAUGGAAUUCCUGGUGUAGCGGUGAAAUGCGUAGAUAUCAGGAGGAACACCCAUGGCGAAGGCAGUUCACUGGCAGUCUCCUGACGCUGAGGCGCGAAAGCGUGGGUAGCAAACAGG
This 254-nucleotide ribosomal RNA is filed under the name uncultured bacterium. RNAcentral's name for it is "partial 16S ribosomal RNA". It matches the Rfam family "Bacterial small subunit ribosomal RNA", at positions 524 to 776 of the family's 1533-position model. The record is from RNAcentral.